GACGAACGCUGGCGGCGCGCCUAACACAUGCAAGUCGAACGGGACUAUAUUGGAAGAAGUUUUCGGAUGGAUUUCGGUAUAGUUUAGUGGCGGACGGGUGAGUAACACGUGAGCAACCUGCCUUCGAGAGGGGAAUAACGGCUGGAAACGGUCGCUAAUACCGCAUAACAUACUGGGAGGACAUCCUGCUGGUAUCAAAGAUUUAUUGCUCGAAGAUGGGCUCGCGUCCGAUUAGGUAGUUGGUGAGGUAACGGCUCACCAAGCCGACGAUCGGUAGCCGGACUGAGAGGUUGAACGGCCACAUUGGGACUGAGACACGGCCCAGACUCCUACGGGAGGCAGCAGUGGGGGAUAUUGCACAAUGGGGGAAACCCUGAUGCAGCGACGCCGCGUGUGGGAAGACGGUCCUCUGGAUUGUAAACCACUGUCCCCAGGGACGAAGAUGACGGUACCUGGGGAGGAAGCUCCGGCUAACUACGUGCCAGCAGCCGCGGUAAUACGUAGGGAGCG
This 510-nucleotide ribosomal RNA is filed under the name uncultured bacterium. RNAcentral's name for it is "bacterial SSU rRNA". It matches the Rfam family "Bacterial small subunit ribosomal RNA", at positions 28 to 536 of the family's 1533-position model. The record is from RNAcentral.